UGGACAACUCCGAAUUUCAAUGCAACUUCCAUAUUCACCUUUCGCAGUAUAACAGUCCAAAGCUGACGAUUCUGAAAAAAAUUUCAUUAGUUUUUCUCUAGGAACAUACAAAUAAUAAUAAUAUAAUAAUAAAAAAACCUAUGACUACGCAUUUAAAACAUCCAACGAGAGAAAGAGGCAAUCUUGGACUGAUAAUGUAACUCAAAUCCCUAAUUGUCUUAUAGAAAAAAAGACUGGGUUCAUCAAGAACUUCUCCCACCAUAACUAUUAUGGAUUCUAUGACAAAAAUCUUCAAGGCGAUUUCGAAAUUCGUCGAUAAUUUAUUCAAACUUCGGUAAAAUACCAUUCAAUAUUCUGAACUCGAUUUUAUUAUACAUGAAACUCAGAAAAAGAUUAUGUUUUUUAAGAACUAUAAAAAUAAUUUUCAAACAAAAAUUUGUAAAUAAAUUUUUUUAAACUCA
This is a long non-coding RNA of Leptopilina heterotoma, 461 nucleotides long. RefSeq lists it as uncharacterized. The transcript is spliced from 2 exons. Lineage: Eukaryota; Metazoa; Arthropoda; Insecta; Hymenoptera; Figitidae. The record is from RefSeq and is a predicted model, not a curated record.